RNAcentral lists this ribosomal RNA (253 nucleotides) under uncultured bacterium. RNAcentral describes it as "partial 16S ribosomal RNA". It matches the Rfam family "Bacterial small subunit ribosomal RNA", at positions 524 to 776 of the family's 1533-position model. The record is from RNAcentral.
UACGUAGGGUGCGAGCGUUGUCCGGAAUUACUGGGCAUAAAGAGCUCGUAGGUGGUUUGUCGCGUUGUUCGUGAAAACUCACAGCUCAACUGUGGGCGUGCGGGCGAUACGGGCAGACUGGAGUACUGCAGGGGAGACUGGAAUUCCUGGUGUAGCGGUGGAAUGCGCAGAUAUCAGGAGGAACACCGGUGGCGAAGGCGGGUCUCUGGGCAGUAACUGACGCUGAGGAGCGAAAGCGUGGGGAGCGAACAGG